Long non-coding RNA from Hibiscus syriacus, 266 nucleotides. RefSeq lists it as uncharacterized. The record is from RefSeq and is a predicted model, not a curated record. The transcript has 3 exons. Lineage: Eukaryota; Viridiplantae; Streptophyta; Magnoliopsida; Malvales; Malvaceae.
CUGAAUGAAACAACAUUAAUAUGGUUAUCGCAUGGACAAGAGAAGAAUCUGAAAUUAAGCUCCGUCUCUCGUAUCGAUCCUGGACAACGAGCUGCUGUUUUAAGAAGAUUUUUGCGCCCAGAAAAGGAGUACUUCUCAUUUUCACUUCUAUAUACUAAGGGUCUCUCGACUUGAUCUGCAAGGACAAAGCUGAAGUUGAAGUGUGGCUAUCAGGUCUUAAGGCAUUGAUCGGACAGAAUCAAAAGAGACGAACAAAAAGGGAUUUA